This 253-nucleotide ribosomal RNA is filed under the name uncultured bacterium. RNAcentral's name for it is "partial 16S ribosomal RNA". It matches the Rfam family "Bacterial small subunit ribosomal RNA", at positions 524 to 776 of the family's 1533-position model. The record is from RNAcentral.
UACGGAGGGGGCUAGUGUUGUUCGGAAUUACUGGGCGUAAAGGGCGCGUAGGCGGCUUCGCAAGUCCGGGGUGAAAGCCUCCAGCUCAACUGGAGAAGUGCCUUGGAUACUGCGGGGCUCGAGGGAGGUAGGGGUGCGUGGAACUUCCGGUGGAGCGGUGAAAUGCGUUGAUAUCGGAAGGAACGCCGGUGGCGAAAGCGACGCACUGGACCUCUUCUGACGCUGAGGCGCGAAAGCCAGGGGAGCAAACGGG